This 465-nucleotide ribosomal RNA is filed under the name uncultured bacterium. RNAcentral's name for it is "bacterial SSU rRNA". It matches the Rfam family "Bacterial small subunit ribosomal RNA", at positions 355 to 825 of the family's 1533-position model. The record is from RNAcentral.
UGGGGAAUAUUGGACAAUGGGCGCAAGCCUGAUCCAGCGACGCCGCGUGGGGGAUGAAGGUCUUCGGAUUGUAAACCCCUUUCGGGAGGGAAGAUGGAAUGGGGUAACCCAUUCGGACGGUACCCACAGAAGAAGCCCCGGCCAACUACGUGCCAGCAGCCGCGGUAACACGUAGGGGGCAAGCGUUGUCCGGAUUCAUUGGGCGUAAAGAGCUCGUAGGCGGUUCGAUAAGUCGGGUGUGAAACCUCCAGGCUCAACCUGGAGACGCCACCCGAUACUGUUGUGACUAGAGUCCAGUAGGGGAGCGUGGAAUUCCUGGUGUAGCGGUGAAAUGCGCAGAUAUCAGGAGGAACACCAGCGGCGAAGGCGGCGCUCUGGGCUGGAACUGACGCUGAGGAGCGAAAGCGUGGGGAGCGAACAGGAUUAGAUACCCUGGUAGUCCCUGAGCGGGCUGGCAAGGCGCAU